RNAcentral lists this ribosomal RNA (174 nucleotides) under uncultured bacterium. Its description in RNAcentral is "partial 16S ribosomal RNA". It matches the Rfam family "Bacterial small subunit ribosomal RNA", at positions 1327 to 1500 of the family's 1533-position model. The record is from RNAcentral.
CGGAAUCGCUAGUAAUCGCGGAUCAGCAUGCCGCGGUGAAUACGUUCCCGGGCCUUGUACACACCGCCCGUCACACCAUGAGAGUCGGGAACACCCGAAGUCCGUAGCCUAACAGCAAUGAGGGCGCGGCCGAAGGUGGGUUCGAUAAUUGGGGUGAAGUCGUAACAAGGUAAC